Molecule: ribosomal RNA, 433 nt
Filed under: uncultured bacterium
Lineage: Bacteria
Description: partial 16S ribosomal RNA
Rfam family: Bacterial small subunit ribosomal RNA
Source: RNAcentral
AACGAACGCUGGCGGCAUGCCUAACACAUGCAAGUCGAACGAGACCUUCGGGUCUAGUGGCGCACGGGUGCGUAACGCGUGGGAACCUGCCCUUAGGUUCGGAAUACCUCCCCGAAAGGGGUGCUAAUACCGGAAAAUGUCUUCGGCCCAAAGAUUUAUCGCCUUUGGAUGGGCCCGCGUUGGAUUAGCUAGUUGGUAGGGUAAAAGCCUACCAAGGCGACGAUCCAUAGCUGGUCUGAGAGGAUGAUCAGCCACACUGGGACUGAGACACGGCCCAGACUCCUACGGGAGGCAGCAGUGGGGAAUAUUGGACAAUGGGCGAAAGCCUGAUCCAGCAAUGCCGCGUGAGUGAUGAAGGCCUUAGGGUUGUAAAGCUCUUUUACCCGGGAUGAUAAUGACAGUACCGGGAGAAUAAGCUCCGGCUAACUCCGUG